Molecule: RNA transcript, 1130 nt
Organism: Culex quinquefasciatus (southern house mosquito)
Lineage: Eukaryota; Metazoa; Arthropoda; Insecta; Diptera; Culicidae
Exons: 2
Source: RefSeq, a predicted model, not a curated record
GCUGUUUCUUAAGGUAGGGGCGAUUGGGGCCAAAUAAGUUCCUUUUGCUUUUUUUUCUUUAUUUUAAAAUCAUGUUCCACUGAUCGUAUCACAGUUGGAACAAGUUCGUGAUUUUGGUUGUCCUAACAUUUUAACAUUUUAGAAAAUUGAGUGUGCGUGUGUGUGAGCUCUUUUUGUUCUGGGUAGAACAAAGGAGGAUAGAAAAUUUUCAUCCCAUUUUAAGAGUGUUCUUCUUUUUAUUUAUUCAGUGCGGUGAAUUUGCCGAAGGUUUGUGAAGGUGCUUAUUGACGGCGUAGGACGUUCACGUUCUGUCUGCUGAACUUCCGGGUGAAAUCCUCGGUGCUUUUCAACAAGGUCGGAGUUCUGGUAUAGGAGAGCCGGAAUUCUGGUGAAGUGCGUCGGCUUUUUCUGCUGUCAGAACGACGGUGCUUCAGCCCAGGAGCAAAGGUUUGGUAACCUUGGUGGUGUUGGCUGGAAGCGGGGAAAUCCUCGCUCAUAGAGAUCAGCUGCGACCAUACCGGGCUCGUGAGGAAGCGAGGACAAAUAUCCUAAUUCCGACGGCAUCCGGUGCAAACAUGAACCUGGAGCAACCAGCGACGCUGAGAGCGUCCGGAAGCGCAGACGAGGAUGGAGAUUUCCGUGGAUACUCGAACGCCGAGCUGGCUAGGGCCAGAAAAAGAAAAGUCGAUGCGGCUCAAUUGCCGGAAGUGUGCUUAAGACGUUCAAAACGUUUGCGUAAACCUAAACAGGAUUUCGAAUUUAAAUAUGUUUAAUUUUGUUUUUUUUUAUGUCGUUAAAUUGCGAUUUCGGAUAUAUAGAGAAAUGUAUUUUGAUCAGAAUUAAAAUGAAUUGAUUUUGUUAGCAUUAGAAGUGAAUUCUUUUACUUUGGAAACAGUGAAUUGUAAAAUAUUUUUAGUUUAAUCUUAGACUAUAGAAACAACUUCCGAAAGGGGAAGGAGUUGUUGCAUACGGGCCUUGGGCCAAACAACUGUACUAAAAAUGUAACACUAAUACACUCACAAAGAAAUGAAUAAAACAUCAACGCGACGGUUGUCGCGCUCUCUUUCGCUGUUCACCAGUGCAACAUACAAGACGUGCGUUAUUCUUCUUACUCGACUUGCUGUCCGAUC